Molecule: long non-coding RNA, 6933 nt
Organism: Orcinus orca (killer whale)
Lineage: Eukaryota; Metazoa; Chordata; Mammalia; Artiodactyla; Delphinidae
Exons: 4
Source: RefSeq, a predicted model, not a curated record
CUCACAUUCCUAUACACUAACAAUGAAAGAUCAGAAAAAGAAAUUAAGGAAAUAAUCACAUUUACCAUUGCAACAAAAAGAAUAAAAUACCUAGGAAUAAACCUACCUAAGUAGGUAAAAGACCUGUACUCAGAAAACUAUAAGACACUGAUGAGAGAAAUCAAAGAUGACACAGACAGAGAGAUAUACCAUGUUCUUGGACUGGAAGAAUCAAUAUUGUGAAAGUGACAAUACUACCCAAAGCAAUCUACAGAUUCAGUGCAAUCCCUAUCAAAUUACCAAUGACAUUUUCCACAGAACUAGAACAAAAACCUUAAAAUUUGUAUGGAGACACAAAAGACCCAGAAUAGCCAAAGCGGUCUUGAGGGGAAAAAAUGGAGCUGGAGGAAUCAGGCUCCCUGACUUCAGACUAUACUACAAAGCUACAGUAACCAAGACAGUAUGGUACUGGCACAAAAACAGAAACAUAGAUCAAUGGAACAGGAUAGAAAGCCCAGAGAUAAACCCAUGCACAUAUGGUCAACUAAUCUAUGACAAAGGAGGCAAGGAUAUACAGUGGAGAAAACACAGUCUCUUCAAUAAGUGGUGCUGGGAAAACUGGACAGCUACAUGUAAAAGAAUGAAAUUAGAACAUUCCCUAACACCAUACACAAAAAUAAACUCAAAAUGCAUUAAAGACCUAAAUGUAAGACCAGAGACUAUAAAACUCUUAGAGGAAAACAUAAGCAAAACACUCUAUGACAUAAAUCACAGCAAGAUCCUUUUUGACCCACCUCCUAGAGAAAUGGAAAUAAAAACAAAAAUAAACAAAUGGGACCUAAUGAAACUUCAAAGCUUUUGCACAGCAAAGGAAACCAUAAACAAGACGAAAAGACAGCCCUCAGAAUGGGAGAAAAUACUUGCAAACGAAGCAACUGACAAAGGAUUAAUCUCCUAAAUAUACAAGCAGCUUGUGCUGCUCAGUACCAAAGAAACAAACAACCCAAUCCAAAAAUGGGCAGAAGACCUAAAUAGGCAUUUCUCCAAAGAAGACAUACAGAUGGCCAAGAGGCACAUGAAAGGAUGCUCAACAUCACUAAUUAUUAGAAAAAUGCAAAUCAAAACUAUAAUGAGGUUAUCACCUCACACCGGUUAGAAUGGGCAUCAUCAGAAAAUCUACAAACAACAAAUGCUGGAGAAGGUGUGGAGAAAAGGGAACCCUCUUGCACUGCUGGUGGGAAUGUAAAUUGAUACAGCCACUAUGGAGAACAGUAUGGAGGUUCCUUAAAAAACUAAAAAUAGAAUUACCGUACAACCCAGCAAUCCCACUACUGAGCAUAUACCCAGAGAAUACCAUAAAUGAAAAAGACAUAUGCACCCCAAUGUUCAUUGCAGCACUAUUUACAAUAGCCAGGUCAUGGAAGCAACGUAAAUGCCCAUCGACAGAUGAAUGGUUAAAGAAGAUGUGGUACAUAUAUACAAUGGAAUAUUACUCAGCCAUAAAAAGGAAUGGAAUUGGGUCAUCUGUAGAGACGUGGAUGGACCUAGAGUUUGUCAUACAGAGUGAAGUAAGUCAGAAAGAGAAAAACAAAUAUCGUAUGUUAAUGUAUAUAUGUAGAAUCUAUAAAAAUGGUACAGGUGAACUGGUUUGCAAGGCAGAAAUAGAGACACAUAUGUAGAGAACAAACGUAUGGACACCAAGGGGGGAAAGCGGCGGAGGUGGUGGUGGUGGUGAUGGGAUGAACUGGGAGAUUGGAAUUGACACGUAUACACUGAUAUGUAUAAAAUGGAUAACUAAUAAGAACCUGCUGUAUAAAAAAUAAAUUAAAUUUAAAAAUUCAAAAAAAGAAAGAAAAAAAAAAAGACAUCAGGGAGCUAAGAGGACAUUGAAGCCAGGAGCCAGAAGCUGGGGAGGUGGCCUGGAGGCAGAGGCGCUUCUCGAACUAGAGGUGCUGACUCAGCAAGGGGCACCAAGGGGCCUCUGGGCGGAGGUAAUGGUCUAUUUGUUGACCUGCUGCUGGUUACACAGUGUGUUUACUUGGUGGAGAUCCACUGAGAUGGACUCAUGAUUUGAGUACUUUUCUCUUUAUAUGUUUUGCCUUUAAAAAAAAAGUCAUUUAAAGGCUUUGGCAAUUAACAAACUAGGGUUUGAGGCCCAGCUCUGCUGCUUGGAAACGUGCCCUCAAGAAAGUUCAUCUUUUUCAAAACCCAAUCUCUUUAGGUGUAAAAUGUGGAGUGUAAGUGACAGCCUCAUGGGAGUGUUCUGAGGUGUAAAUGAGAACUUGUCAAGUGGCCUGUCAGGUGCCUGGAAGCUGGUGGGGCUCAGAGAACAGCACCUCUGAUGAUGUGUUGCCUUUUUCUGAGAACCUGCUAUGCCGGGUGCUGCAUUUCUAUGUCACCCUCUGCGGUCUGUGCCGUUUCACAGAGAAGGAAGCCAAGGCUCAGCGUGGUGAAGGCCUUGCUCUGGAUGGUAAACAGCAAACAGCAGGGCUAAGAUUCAGACUCAGGCCUUGUCCAGGACCAGGGCUGGGAACCCUUGUCUAUAUGGCUGGCGGAUUAGUCAUUACAUGGAGAAUCCACUUCCAGAUCUGGCCUCUGUUUCUGCUAAGUGAAUACAAUCUCAAGAUUAACUUCUAGAUUCAGCCUUGUUUCACAGUAUUUCCAGUUUGCCCAGAUUAAACGUACUUGUCCCAAUGAACUCUGUAGAAAAGGGAGGCAUUUAAUCUCAUCUCAAGGUGAAAUUGAGAAAUGCGGUAAAUUAGAUUGCAGAUUCUAUUGCAGAGUAACCAAAGUAAAUCUUUGCCAAGCUCAGAGGUAACUCAAAUGUUCAUUAGUCUUUUUUUUUUUUUUACAAUUUAAUACUUGAAUAAUUGGAAUUCAUUUUUUGCAGCAAAUAUACAUUAUAUUUUUGUAUUAUUUAUUCUCAUGACUAUGAAAUCACACUUGUUUAUGCAUCCUCCAUGUUCCAUACCCAUACGCUUAUGAUCAGUGAAUUCAUAUUUUUACUUUAUGUAAAUGUUCAUUAGUCUUAAAGAAGAAGGGGGGAGGGGGGAGGGGAGGAGGAAAGGGCUUCCAUUUUCCAGGGCCAGGAUGGAGGGGGCUGCAGUGGAGGCUGGGGACGUGAUGCCAUGAGCCCAUCCCAGAGCAGAGUUUAGGAAGCAGCUUCUGGAAUGUGCUGCAGGUCCCAGCCACGUGAGCCACGUUCUGCCUUGCUGGCCUUGCAGCCUGGAGAGGCCGACGGGCUUGUGCGCUGAGGCUCGUGCGCUCUCGUCAGGCGCGCCUUUGCGGGAGUUUAGGUGUCUGGUCCCGUCGGGAGGAGGCAUCUCCCCUCAGCAAGCUAGUACUUCAUGUUUUUGUUUUUGUUUUUCCCUUGAGUUGCCUAGUAAACACUUCUACUGGAAAAUUCCAACCUUGCCUUGGAUGAACUAAGAGGAAAAGCAAUGUGUCCACACCCAGGCCAGCCCAGCCAGGCAGGGCAGAGGCCCUGGGGACCAGCUUCGUCGACGUGGCCACAGCUGCAGCUCCAGCUGGAACUCGGGGGCGUCUGGACAGCGGCACGGAGCGAGGUGGAUCCCGGGGGGCGUUGACAUUGGCCCCAGGCCCUCCCCUCUGCUCUCUCCAGCCCUUUCAUACUUGUUGCUCUUUGUACACAGUCCCGGCACUUAUCACUUAACACAUCUGUUCUCCCGACUCAGAGCCAGAGGCCAGCCCUGUUCACUGGGCAUCUCGGGGGCCUACGUGGCAUUUAUAUGUAAUCAGUGCUCCUUGCAUGAAACCAAAUGGUGUGAGAUUGACGUGGGGGACGGUCGGCACGAACCAGGACCGGGGGGGAGUGUCCCAGUGUGACCUCCCUGGAGAGCGGGUAGGCACACAGUACCUGGGGGGCCCUCGCAGGCGAAAUUAGAGUUAUUUGCUUUUAAAUGAUUAUUCUUUUGAACAAAUUGAAAGAAUGUUGUCAAAUAUACGCUCCGAUGCACUGGAAUCAGAUGAUGGCGAAGGUUGGUGAGUUUGGCAGACGCGGGCUGGGAAGGGGUGCAGGGUGGGUGCCAGGAGGAUCCUCGGGUCUGUCCACAAGGUGGCGCUCACCUCUCGUUCUCAGUUCCCAUCCACCAAUAGUCUGUCCUUAAAUCGCUGCAGGACAAUUAGGAUGACACUGCUGUGUCCGUAUCUGGUUUCAGGCACCACCCCCCGCCUGCUCUAGAAGAUUUCAGACACUCACGUGUGGUCUCGUGUCCCCAGGAGCCUGGCCCAGAACCGGCCCGGGUUAGCUCACGCACAGGUGUUUGGGUGGUGACAGGGUGUCUGCUUUGAGUAACUUGCUGUAUUGGAACCUCUGGCCUUAGCUAGUGGGACCGUUGUCCUUAGUCUGUACUGCCGCUGAGGUGACCUGUCACACUGACCCGGUCACUGCAAACAUGCCUGGGCUUUUUCCGUGCAAAAGUGUCAAUUUACAAGAGAAAGAGUCUUGGUCUCUGAAUUACAUGAGAGGAGUUUUUAAAAUGCAGACUGAACGACCCAGUAUAAACAAUGAGGAAAAUCCUCCUUCUUUGCCUUAAACUUUCAUACCAUCCCUGUGGACACAAGGGGUGCGCCUAUACAAUUGUUCCAUUGUCAGAGAGAACGAGCUUCAUCAAGUUUCUUCCCUUCAAACGAUCUUUCAAACUGCCCCGCAAGAACGUUGACCAGGCAUCUCACAGAACAAUGAGACAAAUUCCCCAGAUGCUAACUCGGCCUCUUGACGAAUCUCCAGAUUCUUCGGGUUGAACCCAGUUUUCACUAGUUUUGAGAAAAUUUGCAGUGACCAUCCUUCCCCAUGUCCUGUGACAGGGCCGAGCAUUGUGUGUCCUACUUGGUGUAGGAAUCUCCAUAAAAGGGGAAACAAUUCCCAGCCCGAAAACAUUUAAAACAGUGCGCCUGUGGGCAAUCUUCUGAAAUGUCACCAGCUAACGAAAAUAAUCUGUCACGUUUCUGCCCUGCCUUACAGUCCAUGCGCCCUUACACCCCGAGUAAUCCUGUGGCACCCUGUGAGGGGUCCCGCAGAUAGAUUACUGUCCCACCGCGGACAGGAGGAAAUGAAGAGUCAGGAGGUCAAGUGACUUGUAUAACGUCACCGAAUAGGGUCACUCUGGAAGUUUCCCUCACAACGUAAAUUUCCAAUGAAAUCCAAGGAAGCAGUGGUCCAGGAACAAUGGGGUUCACAGUCCCAGCCCAGGGGGUGAGCUACGAGUCCAAUAAAGAACAAGCCAGCCGCGCAUCCAGCUUUGAGUCGCACAACAAACUAGGCUCUGAUAAGAUGGCGCCCUUGGAAGGGAGAUGGGAAAACGUGUCGGUGUACCCAGCUCCUGCCGCUGCCUCAGCUGUGUCUGAGAACACAGCUGGUCCCUGACCUUCUUGAAGCUCUCCACACUCCAUACACCCACAGCUGAGGAACUGCACAGAUGUCAGACACGGUCCAUUAGGAGGAGUGAGACGGAGCCACAACAAUCCAGCCCAGGGAGGAAGAAAGAGCGGAAAAGCCACGUGCUUCUCUGGGAUAACGGAGAACAUCUGUCGCAGACUCACAGGGCUGGGAGGACAGCUCUAAGACCUUGCCACCCUCCUGGAGCAUACUUGCUGCUUCUGGCCGGAAUCCCUUUCCAGGGCUGGGGUGGGACCCUGUUUCCACCUCCCCAUCUCUGGAUGGACAUCUCUGUAGUGGUCCACGUGCCAGCUCUGGGUGUCUGGUGUUGAGGCCACCCAGACUCCGGGAAGCCGGCCUUCUUGAGAAAGUCAGAGGGUUCAAGGCAGAGGUAUGACCAGAGGUGGGGGGCCAGGUAUGGGGAUACGAGGGUCCUGGGGCACCGCUCUGGGUCCUCGAAACAAGCCACUGCCUGAAAACCCUGCGUUGGGCACUUAUUGGAAGGGAGACCCGUCUGAGAGGACGUAGUCUUUCCUCUGCUGUUCGUUCUUUCCAUCCGGACGAUUGAGGAUCCCUGCGCUCUGUCCCUUCCUCUGCAAGCUUGUGUCUCUACUGGCUGGUCCAGGAGGCAACUCUGCUCCGCAGAGAGUGUUUUCAGGCCUCCCUCCUUUUUAUAACAUCUCAGAGAGGAGACGCAAAGAGGCUUGGCUACUGAGUGUCUUUCACACUGUGGCCUGAGACACACUAGUGCGACGAGAAAUCCAUGUCAUGAGUUGGAGGCGGUAUGAAAAACAAACAAACGAAACAAAACAGAAGGAGACACAGAAGGAAACAGGAAUGAACUGAAUUGAACCGGAACCACCAGAGUACCCGGCACAGAGUCAGGGUGAGUGUCAUUUCCUGGAGUCUGUGUGAACCUUUUGUUCACGGUAACAUCCACGCACGCGCAUCUGUGUGCGUCGUGUUUGUGUUCUUGGUUAGGAUGGGAGACUUGUGUCCGGGCCGUGGUCCAACGGGUUUGGAAGCCACCGGUUCAGGGAGGUGUUGCCUCCGUGGGGCUGCGCAGAGGAACCUGUAUUUGGUCUUCGCCCCUGCUUCCAGGCACAGACCUCCCAGCAGCCCUGGAAUUUCCGGAGUGAUGAGAGUGUGUUAGUCACGACCUGAGCUUACGUUAAUGAGGUGCCUCUUGGUGGCCCCUGGGCAGCUGUGGGAGGACGGAGACGGGCAGCCAGAGGAGCCAGCGGGCGAUUAGAGGGUUGGCACUUGUAGCCCCAGCUCUGGCCUUUGGGGAGGGGAGAGGGGCUGCAGAUUUCUAAUCACCCAUGGCCAAUGAUGUCGGCAGUCAUGCCUAUACAACAAGUGGCCCACAAAACCCCUGAACAGUGGGGUUCAGGGAGCUUCAGGUUGGGGAGCACACUGAGGUCCUGAGGGGCAUGCGCCCCCCAGAAGGCGCGGGGGCUCUGCAUCCCUCCCCACCUGUUGCCCUGUGCCUCUCUUCCAUUGGGUUGUUCCUGAAUUGUACCCUUUGUAACAAACCAAUAUAUGUAAGUAACAUG